AGAUUUGCUUAGUGGCAGUAUCAUAGCCAAAGGAAUGAUUAUUGCUAAUUGAAAACUUUUCCUAAUACCCUGCCAUGAUGACUUGAAAUAUAGUCUUGAAAUAUAGUCAGCAUUGGCAAUUUUGAGUCUCUAUGGAA
This is a small nuclear RNA of Colobus angolensis palliatus, 137 nucleotides long. Its record names the gene U4. It matches the Rfam family "U4 spliceosomal RNA". Rfam says of the family: U4 small nuclear RNA (U4 snRNA) is a component of the major U2-dependent spliceosome. The structure of U4 snRNA from yeast and human has been reported. U4 snRNA presents a k-turn RNA motif in the 5p-SL related to recognition of Snu13 protein. NCBI's taxonomy places the organism in Eukaryota, Metazoa, Chordata, Mammalia, Primates, Cercopithecidae. The record is from Ensembl.